Molecule: small nucleolar RNA, 107 nt
Organism: Capsicum annuum
Lineage: Eukaryota; Viridiplantae; Streptophyta; Magnoliopsida; Solanales; Solanaceae
Source: RefSeq, a predicted model, not a curated record
UGAUGAUGGUAAGGGUAAUUUCUGAGCAUACUCUUAAAUAUCUCCCAAGCAUGGUAGAGAUUCUCUCCUUCUUUCUGUUUGAAACUCAGAAUCUUACUUCUUGAACG